UACGUAGGGUGCAAGCGUUAAUCGGAAUUACUGGGCGUAAAGCGUGCGCAGGCGGUUCGGAAAGAAAGAUGUGAAAUCCCAGGGCUUAACCUUGGAACUGCAUUUUUAACUACCGAGCUAGAGUGUGUCAGAGGGAGGUGGAAUUCCGCGUGUAGCAGUGAAAUGCGUAGAUAUGCGGAGGAACACCGAUGGCGGAGGCAGCCUCCUGGGAUAACACUGACGCUCAUGCACGAAAGCGUGGGGAGCAAACAGG
This 253-nucleotide ribosomal RNA is filed under the name uncultured bacterium. RNAcentral describes it as "partial 16S ribosomal RNA". It matches the Rfam family "Bacterial small subunit ribosomal RNA", at positions 524 to 776 of the family's 1533-position model. The record is from RNAcentral.